RNAcentral lists this ribosomal RNA (274 nucleotides) under uncultured bacterium. RNAcentral's name for it is "partial 16S ribosomal RNA". It matches the Rfam family "Bacterial small subunit ribosomal RNA", at positions 523 to 796 of the family's 1533-position model. The record is from RNAcentral.
AUACGGAGGGUGCAAGCGUUAAUCGGAAUUACUGGGCGUAAAGCGUGCGUAGGUGGUUUGUUAAGUCGGAUGUGAAAGCCCCGGGCUCAACCUGGGAACUGCAUUUGAAACUGGCAUACUAGAGUAUAGGAGAGGAAAGUGGAAUUUCAGGUGUAGCGGUGAAAUGCGUAGAUAUCUGAAGGAACAUCAAUGGCGAAGGCAGCUUUCUGGACUAAUACUGACACUGAGGUACGAAAGCGUGGGUAGCAAACAGGAUUAGAAACCCUAGUAGUCC